UACGUAGGUGGCAAGCGUUAUCCGGAAUGACUGGGCGUAAAGGGUGCGUAGGUGGUUUGGCAAGUUGGCGGCGUAAUUCCGAGGCUCAACCUCGGCGCUACCGCCAAAACUGUCUAACUUGAGUGCAGGAGGGGUAAGUGGAAUUCCUAGUGUAGCGGUGGAAUGCGUAGAUAUUAGGAGGAACAUCAGCGGCGAAGGCGACUUACUGGACUGUAACUGACACUGAGGCACGAAAGCGUGGGGAGCAAACAGG
This 253-nucleotide ribosomal RNA is filed under the name uncultured bacterium. Its description in RNAcentral is "partial 16S ribosomal RNA". It matches the Rfam family "Bacterial small subunit ribosomal RNA", at positions 524 to 776 of the family's 1533-position model. The record is from RNAcentral.